CCAUCACUUGGGGAUAACCUUGCGAAAGUAAGACUAAUACCCAAUGACGUCUCUAGAAGACAUCUGAAAGAGAUUAAAGAUUUAUCGGUGAUGGAUGGGGAUGCGUCUGAUUAGCUUGUUGGCGGGUAACGGCCCACCAAGGCGACGAUCAGUAGGGGUUCUGAGAGGAAGGUCCCCCACAUUGGAACUGAGACACGGUCCAAACUCCUACGGGAGGCAGCAGUGAGGAAUAUUGGUCAAUGGACGAGAGUCUGAACCAGCCAAGUAGCGUGCAGGAUGACGGCCCUAUGGGUUGUAAACUGCUUUUAUAAGGGAAUAAAGUGGGAGUCGUGACUCUUUUUGCAUGUACCUUAUGAAUAAGGACCGGCUAAUUCCGUG
Molecule: ribosomal RNA, 378 nt
Filed under: uncultured bacterium
Lineage: Bacteria
Description: bacterial SSU rRNA
Rfam family: Bacterial small subunit ribosomal RNA
Source: RNAcentral